CCUACGGGCGGCUGCAGUAGGGAAUAUUGCACAAUGGGCGCAAGCCUGAUGCAGCCAUGCCGCGUGUGUGAAGAAGGCCUUCGGAUUGUAAAGCACUUUCAGCGGGGAGGAAGGCGGUGAGGUUAAUAACCUCAUCGAUUGACGGUACCCGCAGAAGAAGCACCGGCUAACUCCGUGCCAGCAGCCGCGGUAAUACGGAGGGUGCAAGCGUUAAUCGGAAUUACUGGGCGUAAAGCGCACGCAGGCGGUCCGUCAAGUCGGAUGUGAAAUCCCCGGGCUCAACCUGGGAACUGCAUUCGAAACUGGCAGGCUAGAGUCUUGUAGAGGGGGGUAGAAUUCCAGGUGUAGCGGUGAAAUGCGUAGAGAUCUGGAGGAAUACCGGUGGCGAAGGCGGCCCCCUGGACAAAGACUGACGCUCAGGUGCGAAAGCGUGGGGAGCAAACAGGAUUAGAUACCCGUGUAGUC
This 465-nucleotide ribosomal RNA is filed under the name uncultured Klebsiella sp. Its description in RNAcentral is "bacterial SSU rRNA". It matches the Rfam family "Bacterial small subunit ribosomal RNA", at positions 338 to 795 of the family's 1533-position model. Lineage: Bacteria; Pseudomonadati; Pseudomonadota; Gammaproteobacteria; Enterobacterales; Enterobacteriaceae. The record is from RNAcentral.